UCGCAUGCGGUGCUUACUGUGCCUGGCUCUGCGGCUCUGCACACAGACCCUUCUCAAAGCGCUUGCUAUGCCAUCGUUCAAACAGUUGUCCCAGGUGCCAUGCCCUAAAAGAUUGUGUUAAUUUCCAUAGGACUAUUAAUGCUGUCCUCUUUUGUCGUGCAAUAUUGACAAGGAUGCAGAAAAGGAAAAGGCAGGGGACGAUUGACUCCUUUUUCAAGAAGACCCAAAAAGCUGAUUUAUUAUUUGGUGACAAGAAAAUCAUGUGAUAUAAGAUCACAAGGAAGACCCCUGGGUGAAGGUCAGUGAGUCUCACAGAAAUAUCAGAAACAAGGAAAAACUGUCUUGACAUAAAGCAAGUGAAGUGAAGAUCAAAUGAUCCAUCCAUCCAUCCAUCCAUCCAUAUCACUAUCCGUCAGUGUUGCAGGGGAAGUUGGAGCCAAUCCCAGCUGACUUUGGACGAGAGGUAUGGUACAAUCUGGGCAGGUCACCAGUCUCUCCCUGGCUUAACACAGAGACAAAUAUCCAUUCACAUUCACACCUACAGACAAUUUAGAGUAGCUAGCUGACCUAAAUUACAAGUCUUUGGUUUGUGGGAGAAAACUGGAGCACCUGGAGGAAAUCCACACAGGCAUGAGGAGAACAUGCAAACUCCACACAGAAAGGCCCCAGUCAGCUGCAAAGUUCUCACCCAGGACAUUUUUGCUGUAAGGUGACACUGCUAAGCACUGCACC
Molecule: long non-coding RNA, 732 nt
Organism: Neoarius graeffei (lesser salmon catfish)
Lineage: Eukaryota; Metazoa; Chordata; Actinopteri; Siluriformes; Ariidae
Exons: 3
Source: RefSeq, a predicted model, not a curated record